This is a long non-coding RNA of Mya arenaria, 648 nucleotides long. RefSeq lists it as uncharacterized. The transcript has 3 exons. The record is from RefSeq and is a predicted model, not a curated record. Lineage: Eukaryota; Metazoa; Mollusca; Bivalvia; Myida; Myidae.
UAAGAAGUGAUCGAGCAUGCAAAAGGAAUACAUGUCUUUAACCCUAAGCUUGCAUUAUUUAUUUUGGCAUUAAAUUCAUAGCAAUAAGACAACUAUAUGAACCAUCUCCGGGACAUAAUGAUAUUUUGGAUAUUUGGUUUGGUCUGCUUGGCACGAUCAUGGGAAGAUAGGGAUUUCUUUAGAGAUAAACUUGUAGACAAGUAUUGUUGGCUUGGGCUGAGAUGCUUGUGUUGUAUUGGAGGGAAUGCACGAUGUGACCAAGGAAACGGCUAUUGCUAUGAUGGCUGCGUUAAUGGACAGUUUGGCAAUACAUGCAAUACACCUUGUCCCGGUAACUGUUCUACGUGCAGUCGAGCAACAGGUUGUCCAUGUUACAGCUGCAAGACUUCAUUUUAUGAUACAACUAGUGCGUGUAGCAAGAAGUGCCCAGUCGGGUGUGAUAGGGGAGCCUGCUAUGAGAAUGGAACAUGUACAGCAAACUUCGAAGGAACAAAAUGUGAGACGUGCAUACAAGGGAAAUACGGUUCCGGUUGUACACACAAUUGCACUCAUCAUAACUGCCGUUGUUCGACUGAAACUGAUUGUACUUCUUGUAAAACGGGAUUCUAUGGUAGAAGUACCUUCUGUCAAACAUCUUGUUCCCCGGGA